GCUGUGUGCGCCCUAACCGCGGGAGGUCGCUGUCGUAGCCCUUGUACAAGCUGUGGAGGCAAUCAAAUGUGGCUGGUGAAAGGCUCGCGGAGGCUCCUAGGCGCCUGCUCUCUUCAAACCUGGACUAAAUUCCUGGAAUAGCUAAUUGCCAGGCCCACCUGGCACACUACAGGCCCACCACAGGGAAGGAAAUCUGGGGAACAGCACGCCCUAAUAGGGCAGGGAUUCUCACACUGAGGUGUUGCCUCUGCCCUGAGAGCGCCUCCCCUCCAUCUCCCCUGUUCUGCCACAGGCACCAGGACCCUUGAGUCACCCUGACUGAGAAUCUUUGAGUCACAUUUGAUGCAGAGUUCCUGAUGGAAAGGGCUCUGAACUUGUGGGGACACCCAUACAUUUACCUUACAGAUGAGGAAACUGUGGCUCAGAGAUGGUGAAGUGACUAAAAAGGAGUACAGAUCAUACAGCGAGGAGGACCAGGAACAUGAACUAGAACUUGGGUGUCCCUUGCAUCUAUGAUGGUGAAAGUAACAUUUACUGAGCUCUAUGCAUGUUCCGGCACGGAUCCAGACACUUUAUAGUUACUAUCUUCAAUUGGAACAACCCUAAGAACCUGUUCCUUCUCGGUCUUUCACAACAUUGACUUCCUGUGUCUGCCCUGAAGAAAACCCUGUGAACAGGAGUUACUGCAAACACAAGAAGUGCUGGUACCCAUUACUAGGAUACCUACCUGAGUCUUUUUUAUGAUGCUACAGGGUUCUGGGAUGUGCCAACAAAAAGGCACCGAUGAACAAACAAUAUCAGAGCCACCAGUGAAACAAAAUAAAAGGGAUGCUGACUCUUACUGAAGGGAAUAAGUUGAAGACAGACAAGAGGGAAAAAUGGAAUUGACAUGGAUGAUCGGAAGGCCAAUACUCACCCCUGGUCAUGCUCCAAGGCCACUUCCGGGGGAGUACUUUUUGAUUCUUUAGCAGCUAAAUCUUCUUGGAGGAGGCUGUUGCAGAAUCCCCGCAGGAGAACAGUACCACCCCAUUUAUCUUGGAUCUGUGUGGCAUGGAGUCAGGAGUAGGGUGUCCCCUACAUUUGGAGGAAAAUGUCAUGGCUCCUGGCUAGUGAAACCCUAGCAGCAGUGACAGCAGUGUUCUAGGAGAGUGGAGUACUCCAAGGCGUGGAAUGGAUGAACAAUGGCAAACGCCACACAGGAAUUCGUGGAUUGCAUGCAUGAGACAUCACUGCUGAGACUGAGACUCACUGAAAGAACUUGCACAAAAUCAACUUUUAAAAGGCAGGCCAGGUCUACUGGAACCCAGGUCUUUAAGCCUUGAAAGACAAUGCAGCAUGCCUGGAAAAAGAAAAGGUUUUGGGAGCAGACACCUGAGCUCAGUGUUGCCGCAGGACUUCAUGCUAUCCCUGGGCCACAGGUACUUCAGCUCACACUGGACUUGGAGCCCGACCCCACCCAGCUUCCCACUGCCAUCUGGUGGUCAUCCGGAGCCCAGGGCCCAGCUCCUGAUGGGCCUUCAUCAGCAAUCUCCUUCAGAGUGCUGUAAAGCCUGUGGGCAACCCUACUUCCGCCCCUGAAAAAGUUGGCAUGAGAAAGAAAGGCCCGAUAUCUUGCCUCCAAUGGUGGCAGAGAAGUAUGAGCACAAAAAUCCAGAUAAUGUGCCAAACACAAAAACCAGGACUUUAUAAGAAACAACACCGAAGCUGCUGAUGCCUCAAAUCCUGCCUUCCACUGGCAUGUUGGAUCUGGUCACCCAUGAACACAGACAUCAAAGCAAUACCCAUGUGUCUGUGGUGAUCAUGGACAGCAUGCAACUGAUUGUGGAUGAUAGCUGGGCAAAUGGGGAUAUCCAAAUGCCAAUGGGUACUCACUGAAGGAGCAGAAAUAAUAUGGAAGGAUGUACAGGUAAUAUCAGAGUGAACAUUGGAUAAUAAUUUAGUUUUUGAGAUAAUAUCUAGGUGGGUGAGAGUAAUACAUAUUUUUGUGGACAAGGUCUGAGAAGGGUUUAACUACGUGUCUGUAGAUAAUGCCUGACUGAGAGUGGGCAAAUUUAGACUGUGCAGAGGUAAUAUGUCUGCGGAUAACAUCUCGUUUGGUAGAUGACAUCUUCAGAAAAUGUGGAUUAUAUUCAGAGGUCUGAACUGAAUGGGGGAAUAUCCAAAUGAUGAUGGUAGUAGUUGAGUAAGCAGAAAGUAAUAUUCAAGUAUGUGUAGUCAAUAUUUAGGUGAGCAUGGAUGUGAGAUGUUAACAUGUUAAGAUGUGAAGUGAGAGAUCAAUCUGAGUAAAAUAACUCAGUGCCUGAGUGAACACACGUGAUAUCUGAGUCUUUGUGGUUAAUAUCUGAAUGUGUGAGACUAACAACCAUGAUUUUAUGGGUGAUAUCUGGAAAAGGUUAGUUAAGUGAGCAUGGGUGAUAUCUAUGUGUGGAUGAUAAAAUGAAAGCAAGUGUGUCUGAUGGGUGAGUGACAUCUAAAUGACUAUGGGCAUUGUUAAAGUAACUGUGGGUGAUACCUGGUUUUCAGUGGUGGCAUCUGAGUGAACAUUAGCACUCUGGUCUAUGUGGGUAACAUAUAAGAAUAAUGUGGGUAACAUCCACAUUUCUACUGGUAACACUGGAGUGAGCCUGGCUAACAUGUAGUAUCUGAGUGAGUGGCAAACAGUCUUUGUGGGUAACUUCUGACUGCCUGGGUAACAUCCACUCUGUGUAGGUAACAACAUCCAGAUAAGCAAGGCCAAUUCUUGCACCUGUGCUCUGAAUCACUUCAUGUUCUGCUUUCUCAGGCUCCCUUGCUCUGUGGACUGUCCCUGCUCUCUGCUGAGCCUUUGACCUUCCUUUCCUCUGUCUUGGCCCAUGCUGCAUCAACAUUUUAAAAAGACUCUUGCCUCUACUGCACACACAUAUACCCAAAGACAACCCCUACCACAUACCAUUCCUCAAUCCCAUGCUCUUUCUGGCACUAUCCUAUUUUUUUCUUUGCUUCUCUCUCCCUCCCAAAUUUCUGGAAAGUUUCAUCUACACACCCUGGUUCACUUCUCAUAACCUCCUCAUGCACCCUCCCAAACCUCAACCAACUGUAGUCAGGCCUUAAUACCCACAACUCCUCUUAAGGACUUCUUUGUUACUGGAUCUGAAGGAUGCUGUUCUGUCCUUAUUCGACUUAUAUCAGCACCAUAUGACAUCACUUAUCCCACCCUGCUUGAAAUCUUUCCCUUGCCUUGUCCCUCUGAUGGUUUCAUCAUGGGCUCUCCAUCUUUUGCCUGGCUUUUAAAUCUCAGUCUUUUUCAGGGUCCUGCCCCGGGACCUGUUUUCUUUUCAUCUUGUCAUCUUUGUGUGAUUUUAGCUAUUCCUGUGGCUUCCAUUACCUUCUGUAGGCAAAGACCUUUUAAGUCUGUAUUCCCAGCUUGCACCCCUCCCCUAAGUUCCUGACCACCAGAUUCAACAGCUUACUGGCUACCCCCACCUGGGUAUCUCAACAGCACUUAAACUCAGUGGGUUCCAAAGUGAAUUUAUAGUUCUUCUCUUUCAAAUUUGUUUCUGUUCCUUUGUUAUCUUUCUCAUGAUAUAGCACCAACAUCCAUCUAAUUGUCCAAGCCAGACACCUGGAUGUCAUCCUUUGACCUCUUCCUCCCUCUCCAUUUCUAAUGAAUCCCUACCAAGUUCUGUUGAUUCCACUUCCAGAAGUGCCUCUCGAAUCCAUCCACUUCUCUCCAUCCCCACUGCCAAAACCUUAGUCCAAGCCCAUAUCAUCUUUUUCAGAGAAACA
Long non-coding RNA from Herpailurus yagouaroundi (jaguarundi), 3765 nucleotides. RefSeq lists it as uncharacterized. The record is from RefSeq and is a predicted model, not a curated record. The transcript is spliced from 7 exons. Lineage: Eukaryota; Metazoa; Chordata; Mammalia; Carnivora; Felidae.